ACAUUUCAUUAGCUGAUACAUACAUGAUAUGAGAGAAAGUUUUUAAAUCUUGAUGUGGAAAAAUAUAGUUUUGUAUCAAAACAAAAAAUUGUUUACCUUUAGUUUUAAUCCAAAAGAAGGUAACUUCAAAUUUGAUGACAUCUCUUCCUCCAUUCAUCUUCAACAAAAGGCCAAACAAUAAUUUGGUUGAUGACGGAAAUCGUGCGAUUAGGGUUCUCAUAUUUCAGAGUUCAAAAGAUAUCUCUCCUCUGUAAGUUAUAUAAACGCAUUGUGAGAUAUACAAUAUAAAAAAUUGUUAAAAUAAAAUUGAAAGACAAAUUGAUAUCUCGGAUUACAAACGAAUGUAACAAUCAACGUGAAUUAAUUUUGUUCAGGAUAGAAGAAAGCAAAUCCAACUUCAUUAAAAAAAUUUAGGCAAUCAAGUAGAUAUAAUAUUUAAUAAAAAACGAGAACAUUACUUACAAUAUCCAAUCAUUUAGAUGAUCUAGUGUGAUCUCAUAAAAUCAAUAUUAUUUCUGAAAACUAAAUUGAAGAUAUACACAAAGACUUACUCUUGCUGAAUCGGGACAAUAACAAAUGGAUAGGAACCUUAGGAA
This 596-nucleotide long non-coding RNA is filed under the name Aquilegia coerulea. RNAcentral describes it as "long non-coding RNA (ACOE_LNC001463)". Lineage: Eukaryota; Viridiplantae; Streptophyta; Magnoliopsida; Ranunculales; Ranunculaceae. The record is from RNAcentral.